UGGAGCAUAGUUCAACGGUUAGAACGCACGACUGAUAAUCGUGUAAUGAAAGUUCGAUUCUUUCUGCUCCAACCA
This 75-nucleotide transfer RNA is filed under the name compost metagenome. RNAcentral's name for it is "tRNA-Ile". It matches the Rfam family "tRNA". Rfam says of the family: Transfer RNA (tRNA) molecules are approximately 80 nucleotides in length. The record is from RNAcentral.